Small nucleolar RNA from Callorhinus ursinus (northern fur seal), 70 nucleotides. RefSeq annotates it as small nucleolar RNA SNORD18. The record is from RefSeq and is a predicted model, not a curated record. NCBI's taxonomy places the organism in Eukaryota, Metazoa, Chordata, Mammalia, Carnivora, Otariidae.
UUUAUAUGAUGAAAUUCCACUUUAUGGUCCAUGUUUCUGAAACACAUGAUUUUGUGGAACUUCUGAUUCU